Molecule: long non-coding RNA, 427 nt
Organism: Zophobas morio
Lineage: Eukaryota; Metazoa; Arthropoda; Insecta; Coleoptera; Tenebrionidae
Exons: 4
Source: RefSeq, a predicted model, not a curated record
UAAUAAUUGGAUGAUAAGCCUUAUAUGCCGGCAUGGAUUUAGGGGCCUUAUAAAAAUUCACUAGUCCGCGGAAUACUUUUUUAACCUCUUCAAAGCCUAUUUCCAGACACCCGUCUCCUUUAAAUCAAACGUUUAAAAGCGGUGAGCAUUAUUAUAUUAAAGGAAUGGAGGACUUAGUAGUUGAGGCAGAUUCAUAACUCUUUAAAUAAUUGCUUCUAGAUGAGAAACUGACCCAUAAGUGACCCUGCUCCGAGGGCGGAAAAUAUUUGUGUCUUCAAAGAAAAGAGUGCCUUCCAGUUCAAAAAGAUGCAACCUACAAUGGAGGACAGUUUGUGAAUAAAAGUAACCCUUAGAGCUCGGGACUCGGGGACCACGAAACAGCGCUUUUUUCUUGUAGUUUGAUGCCUACUGCAAAAGCUUUAAAAUU